RNAcentral lists this long non-coding RNA (1109 nucleotides) under Pan troglodytes (chimpanzee). RNAcentral describes it as "long non-coding RNA NONPTRT010393". Lineage: Eukaryota; Metazoa; Chordata; Mammalia; Primates; Hominidae. The record is from RNAcentral.
UUUGUUUAUCUAUUCACCAGCUGAUGGACUUUUGAAUUGUUUCCAGUUUUUCAUUAUCAUGAAAAAAUGCUAUGAAUAUUUAUUUGUAUACAAAUCUUUGUGGGAAUAUGUUUUUAUUUCUUUUGGGUAGAUAUCUAAGAGUGGAACAACUGAAUCAGAUGGUGUGUGUCAGCUUAGUUUUUAAGAAACUAUAAAACUGUUUUUCAAAAUGGCUAUAUAUCAUUUUACAUUUCUACCAGAAAUGUAAGAGUAUUCCCCUUUCUAAUCAAAGUGCUUUCCUUGCCAUCUCCAGCCGUUUCAGACCUCCUUGAAGAGUUCUCCUGCUCACCCAUGAUCUCCAGCUUUUCGUUCCUAGUCUGUUAUUAAUCCCAUUUUGUACAUUUUGUAUCUAAAGCAUUGUAGUUUUCAUCUUUAGACAUUUGAUUUCGUUGGUUUUUAUCAUCCAUUGCUCUACGUAACUCUUAAAUAGAAUACUGUUACAAUAUGUAUUUUACCUUCUUGGGUGAUUAAUAUUUUUGCAUCCUUAUAAAUAUUCUUGAGUUUUGUUCUGGGAUUCAGUCAGGUUAUUCAGGAACAGUUCCGUUUUUUUAUUCUUGUUUUAAAGAUUGGCUAGCUGAAACCAGAGUACUCUAGGUACUUUACCCAGGGUCCCAUAAAUCAUGAGGUUUCUCAGGCUGAUUGGUGAAAACCAAGCAUUAUUUCUGGCCUCGUGUGAGUGCUGAACACUGUUAUCACUAAUCCUUUUAAAUUGUUCUUUCUCUAGUCUCAGGUAGUUUCCUUAAAUAAUUGCAUUGAUUGCUAUUGUACUGAAUAUUUGAGAAGACUCCUCUGCAGAUCUCCAGGGUUGUCUUUGUGUUUACUUCUCUGCUUUCCAGAGCUUUGUGCUGUGACCUCUACCUGCCUUAAUUUCCCUAGACUCUCAGUUUCACCUUAACUAAUGGAGUCCACCAGACUCUGCCUGGGUUCCCCUUCUCUGUGCCAUAGUCUGGAGACUCUCCCAAGGCAGGAAGCAGCUGUACAGCUUAUCGGAAUCGUGUCCCAUCUUUCAGGCAUCAUUGUCUUUCAAUGCAUAUUAUCCAGUAUCUUGAAAACUAUUGUUUUAUAUAACU